Non-coding RNA from Podarcis lilfordi (Lilford's wall lizard), 284 nucleotides. NCBI's taxonomy places the organism in Eukaryota, Metazoa, Chordata, Lepidosauria, Squamata, Lacertidae. The record is from the annotation of a GenBank genome assembly.
CCGGAAGAGGAGCUUCUACGCCGGAUUGCCGCUCAGCGCCAUAGCUCUAAGGGCGCGCCCUUUCGGAAACGGGAGGAGGGGGGGCAGGGGACCCCCCCCCAAAAAAACAUCGAUGUUGCAGGAAAGGAAAUGAGAAUCGGGAGCGAGGACAAAGAGGUAAAGGGGUCGUGGGGGGGGGAGAGGGGAGAGAAGGACCCAGAGAGGGACUCCGCUACAGCUCCCCAAAGCGCCUUCCGUGGGCCCCACCGGCAGGGCCUGGAUUUCUGCACGGCUGCAGCGAAGGG